Schistocerca piceifrons (Central American locust) is the source of this 657-nucleotide long non-coding RNA. RefSeq lists it as uncharacterized. The transcript has 3 exons. The record is from RefSeq and is a predicted model, not a curated record. NCBI's taxonomy places the organism in Eukaryota, Metazoa, Arthropoda, Insecta, Orthoptera, Acrididae.
GGAUCUUUGGUGCUGAUGGUAUUAGCUGUUGGACGCAAAGUAAUUAAAUAAUGUGGUAGAGACAGUAUUGAUAGAAGAUAAUAUAACAUCAGAAAAGCCGUCAGUAUCCAGGAAAUGUGAAAUAUUGUUCGAAGCAAGCACACAACAGUUUCUUACUUAUCGACAAAUGUAAACAUAUAUCAUUGACAUCCACUGUACAUUUUGCGUAAUGACAAACGUAAACAUCUGAGUGAAUGCCCAAACGCACACAAGGGUAUUUGAAAUAUAGGAGGUAACGUUGGUUACAGAAAACUCGGAUCAUUUGGGCUGUCAUAUUAGGAUGGAAGUCACACAUCUUGGAGAUUUGCAAUAAGUGAACACUGUUUUGAGCUGAAGUAGCAAAAUGCAACUUUGUUAACAUGUGGAAUUGUCAUUUUCAGUGACAAGAGUUUAAAAAAUGAAAGAAAUUAAGAAUCUAUUAGAGAAAAGUGAAAACAUCCCUGCAUGGAAUUUAUCAGUUUAAAUGAUUAUGAUUCAUUACUUGAAGAUAGUGGUCUAUCAGAUACUGUAGUACCAAAUGAUGUACAGCCAAAUACUACUGCACUGUACAACUGAGGACUGUGACAGUGUAAUGAAGCAGAACAUUAAGUGAAUUUAAUAAAAAAGGCAUGUAAAGGG